RNAcentral lists this ribosomal RNA (379 nucleotides) under uncultured eukaryote. RNAcentral describes it as "SSU rRNA". It matches the Rfam family "Eukaryotic small subunit ribosomal RNA", at positions 587 to 972 of the family's 1831-position model. The record is from RNAcentral.
AGCUCCAAUAGCGUAUAUUAAAAUUGUUGCGGUUAAAACGCUCGUAGUUGGAUAUUUGUUAUGGACGGUCGGUCUACCCCAGUGGUCAGUACUUCGAUUCGUUCUAGGCACUUUUCUGGAGGAAGUGUUUGCACUUAAUUGUGUUGCACGUGCUCCGUGACAUUUACUUUGAGGAAAUGAGAGUGUUUCAAGCAGGCAUCUGUCGUGAAUGCGCUAGCAUGGAAUAAUAGCAUGGGACCAUUGCUUGACUCUGUUGGUCUUGGGCUGUGGUAAUAAAAAUAGGGACAGUUGGGGGUAUUCGUAUUUAACUGUCAGAGGUGAAAUUCUUGGAUUUUUUGAAGACGGACCACUGCGAAAGCAUCUACCCGGGAUGUUUUUG